AUUGAACGCUGGCGGCAUGCCUUACACAUGCAAGUCGAACGGCAGCACGGGUGCUUGCACCUGGUGGCGAGUGGCGAACGGGUGAGUAAUACAUCGGAACAUGUCCUGUAGUGGGGGAUAGCCCGGCGAAAGCCGGAUUAAUACCGCAUACGAUCCACGGAUGAAAGCGGGGGACCUUCGGGCCUCGCGCUAUAGGGUUGGCCGAUGGCUGAUUAGCUAGUUGGUGGGGUAAAGGCCUACCAAGGCGACGAUCAGUAGCUGGUCUGAGAGGACGACCAGCCAACCUUGGACUGAGGCCACGCCCAGGCUCCUUCGGGAGGGAGCAGUGGGGAAUUUUGGACAAAGGGCGAAAGCCUGAUCCAGCAAUGCCGCGUGUGGGAAGAAGGCCUUCGGGUUGUAAAGCACUUUUGGCCGGAAAGAAAACCUUUACUCUAAUACAGGCGGGGGAUGACGGUACCGGAAGAAUAAGCACCGGCUAACUACGUG
RNAcentral lists this ribosomal RNA (486 nucleotides) under uncultured bacterium. RNAcentral's name for it is "partial 16S ribosomal RNA". It matches the Rfam family "Bacterial small subunit ribosomal RNA", at positions 30 to 507 of the family's 1533-position model. The record is from RNAcentral.